UACAGAGCUGGCAACCGUUGUUCGGAAUCACUGGGCUUAAAGAGCACGUAGGCGGAGUGUCAAGUCGGCUGUGAAAUUCCACGGCUUACCCGUGGGGGGCCAGCCGAAACUAGCAUUCUAGAGGUCAGUAGGGGAGAGUGGAAUUCCUGGUGGAGCGGUGAAAUGCGUUGAUAUCAGGAGGAACGUCGGAGGCGAAGGCGACUCUCUGGACUGAAGCUGACGCUGAGGUGCGAAAGCCAGGGGAGCAAACGGG
RNAcentral lists this ribosomal RNA (253 nucleotides) under uncultured bacterium. RNAcentral's name for it is "partial 16S ribosomal RNA". It matches the Rfam family "Bacterial small subunit ribosomal RNA", at positions 524 to 776 of the family's 1533-position model. The record is from RNAcentral.